AAGUAAAAAUACAAUAGAUGCAAAAUGACAACCAAAAAAAAGCUGUUAAAGGGCUGUUUACUACAAAAUGCUGAUUCUCUGAUUGAUCUAUCAGACUGUCGAUCAGUGAUUCUCCAUGCACACAACAAACAAACAAAGCUGUGCUGCAGCAACACACAAACAUUAAACUUCCAAGAAAUAAAAUAAUAUAGUAAAGUAUAAUAAUUGACCAUGUUUAUGGUCAGUGCUAUCAUCCAGCUCUCUUUAUACACCCAUGAACUGAGGGCGUCAUGGAGUAAUGAACAGGGAAGUUGGCUUCAUUUAAUUUAUUCCCACAUUUGCAAUGAUGUCAAGAUGCAAACAAAUACAGUUAAAAUUCAAAAGAAGACAAUAGUCAGUGAUUCAGACAAAUAAAUUAAACUUAAUUAAUAAAUAAAUAAAAAACUAAGAAAAAUAAACGUAGGAAAAAUAAACAAAAAUAAAAAUGUGUAUUUUCCACCUCUAAAAAGGUUGGGUGAGAUUUCAGACAGACUCAGCUUCGCUUUUUGUUUUUCCUUAAUUUGAUACAAGGAAUGGUUCUGAAAACUACAGUUCCCAUGAGCCACUGCAGCUCAAGUGUUUGAGCAUAUUCAGAAAGCUUUGUUGCUGCGAGCUGCUGAAACAACCAAAAAUCUGAAAGUUAAUUGAAUCAAGUGUAACUUCACCAAACCAUUAACAGCAGAACCUGAAGGCCUCUUACUGCAAAGCUUUCUGGGACUCGUAGUUGACUUCUCUGAUCGUGGACAUCGUCCUUAUCCAUCACAGAUUGAGUCUCAGCUGUUUUGGGGUCAGAAGGUAAUGUGACAGCCUUUCCCUCUCUCUGAUCCAGCUGCAGGGUCAGUAAAACGAAACACUGAUCGAACAUUAAACUGAGAUUUUUGAAGCCUGCACAACAUCAACAGUGACUCAUGCCUGUGACUCACUUGUUGUGGCAUCCAUGUUUGACAUUUCAUUAUAGAGAUGUGGGCAGUUAAUUUGGACCGUCUUUCUACUGGGAAACACCCACCCACACACUAAUAAAAAGAGAGAUGACAGCCUACUUUAUGGAGAGAGACGAUUGUUUAUCGUCCUAUUAACAGAUUUAUUGGUGUUUAUUGUUGAGGUUGCAGGAGACAGAAACAGGAAGCAGUGGGAAGGAGAGGACGGUUCAGACCUGGUGUUUUGUUUCCAGAUCAGUGACCUCUACUGAUCAAAUUUUACCUCCUUUCUUCUCGGCUGAUUCAGCAAAACAUCCACCAAACACGACCUCACCUCGGCUACAAAUGUCAAAGCCGACAUGUCUGCUGGAGGUUUGCUGGUCUUUAAACACACCGAAAAGUUAGAUAUCCAUCAGCUGGGCGGAACUGACUUGUACAAAGUGUUGUCGUAGCCGAGGUCGUAGGUUUGCAUACGGACGGUAGGGACACGACCCAACCAAUAGUUGAGUGAACUCGUUCGCACUAUGUUUGGUGUGAAGUCAUAUUAUAUCAUUCCAAUGUGCCUGCCAAGAGGCCACGUCUCCAAGGCAACCGAUUUAGGCAUGCUAGCAUAUGAUUGGCUGAAAGGGCAGGGGCUGAAAAGGCUAACGUCAUAUGAGAAUAUCACAGUUGUACCUAACGUCACCAGAAAAAUGUCAACUGAUGUUAUUUAACCAUGUUAGCUAGUGUUAACUAGCAAGCUAACUGUGGCUUCAGUCUUAUGUAGGCUAGCAGUGAGGCUGCUAGCAGGAAUAAAGAUAAAAUGGUGGAUAUAUGAAAGUAUGAGUUGAGUUUCUGUCGAGAAAUCCCAUGAAAAUGUCGCCAUGAAUGAAUGAUUUUGUGGUAGGUCGAGAAGCUAAUGAGGAAACUCUUUCAGGGUUUAAAAUGAUAGUGUGAUUAAAUAUAUGUAAUUAUGGAUUAAUUUGAAAUUACUGACUUACAUCUACCAUAACCAUAGGCUCUGAGCCUCUCUUCUGAUUGGCUGAUCCAAUAAAAAUAAAGCAGAUUUCAGGUAAAAACACUCAGAGAAACCAAAUCCUGCAAGGUUUGGAUGGUGGGUCCAGGUGGGCGGGGCUUGGUGACUGCUUUGUUGUGACAUCACAAAGUUCCAGAAGUCCUGACGGCUGGUUUUAAGGCUCAGUUUCUGAAUACAGGCUGUGUGCAUUUCUCUGUGGACUGAGGCUUUGAUACUUUCACAGUAUUAAUAUAGAAGCUAGAGCUGAUCUAUAAUCACACUACACAUGGACACAGACCUUUACACUGGAGGAGCUUUAACUUACUGCUGCAGCUUAUUAACUUUUAACAUUACUUCACCCACAGCUGAAGUUUAUGGAUUUUAUUUCACUUGCCGAUGAUAUCUUUCUGGACUGUUGCUCCAUGUUUGAUUCCCGUCCACUGAGCCACCUGGACGUCCUCAUGGUGACUUCCUAAAAACCCACAGUAAAAAUAUAAUUUGUGCGAGGGAGGUGCUCCUCGCUUCCUCUCAGCUCCACGAUCUUCUCGUAGAAUCCGUUUGACACCCACCUACUCACAAUGUGACACGGAGGCCCGGUUUGUGCGCCAAAAAUACUGCCUGGAGUGUUUACAGUCAGAGCGUGACGUCGCAGUUCUCCUGAAGCAACAAGUUGUUUUUAUUGGUAGGAAGCGAAGGCAGGCUGAAAAUAGACAGCGUGAUUCAGAGCUCGGACGGUUUUAGCCCUGAUGUGGAGCCAAACUGUGGAAGCCCUGCGUAGGUCGUCCUCCAAAUCAAAUAAACAGGAUGAAUUAUUAUUCUGCAACACACACACAGAGCCGUGUAUAUUUAUAACACAACAGUAAACAGCAGAAACACAGUGUCGCCGUGUGUUUGUUGUCAUGUCAGUCUGUCACUGUCACAGAGUCGUGAAGCUGGAGGAGACCCCGACCUGAAAUGUAGAAAGAUGAACAGCUGCUGUUGAAGAAUAUCUGCCUCUGUGGAUAAAAAGGCAAAGAAAAUAUAAAAAACUACAACUCCCAGAGUGCAUUUUGUGACAUUUUGCAGGUGAAACUGAGGGGCCUCCCUGACCCGCUUGGGCCCAUUGGUCUGUGUCCAGCGGGCCUGUCCAGUGAUCCAUCCAUGCCUACAGUUCUAGGCCUCGUACCCGGCGGAGCGGCGGCGCUGGUGGUUCCAGAUGUCGUCUCUGUGCUCGGGUCGGCAGAACAACCUGGACGACUGGGCCAGCCGCUCCCGGUGCUCCCGCUCCCGGUCUCGCUCCGCGCCG
Molecule: long non-coding RNA, 3214 nt
Organism: Seriola aureovittata
Lineage: Eukaryota; Metazoa; Chordata; Actinopteri; Carangiformes; Carangidae
Exons: 3
Source: RefSeq, a predicted model, not a curated record